AUGGCUGCGGACGGCGAGAGGUGGGUGGGCCUGGCGGUGGACUUCUCGGAGGGGAGCCGCGCGGCGCUGCAGUGGGCGGCGGACAACCUGCUCCGCUCCGGCGACAACCUGCUCCUCCUGCACGUCCUCAAGGACCCCGACUACGAGCAGGGCGAGACCCUCCUCUGGGAGGCCUCCGGCUCGCCUUUGAUCCCCCUCUCGGAGUUCUCUCACCCUUCAACUGCAAAGAAAUAUGGGGUGAAGCCUGAUGCUGAAACGCUGGACAUGCUCAACACUAUAGCUAAGCAGAAGGAGGUCUCCGUGGUUUCAAAAGUCCUGUUUGGAGAUCCCCGCGAGAAGCUGUGCCAAGCCAUCCAUGACAUGCCCAUCAGCUCCCUGGUCAUUGGGAGCAGGGGCCUUGGCAAGCUCAAGAGGGUGCUCUUGGGCAGCGUCAGCGAUUACGUCGUGAACAAUGCCGCCUGCCCUGUCACCGUUGUCAAGCCAGCGAGUAACCAUGCCUGA
This 501-nucleotide ribosomal RNA is filed under the name Triticum aestivum (bread wheat). Its description in RNAcentral is "partial small subunit ribosomal RNA". Lineage: Eukaryota; Viridiplantae; Streptophyta; Magnoliopsida; Poales; Poaceae. The record is from RNAcentral.